RNAcentral lists this ribosomal RNA (476 nucleotides) under uncultured bacterium. RNAcentral describes it as "partial 16S ribosomal RNA". It matches the Rfam family "Bacterial small subunit ribosomal RNA", at positions 28 to 506 of the family's 1533-position model. The record is from RNAcentral.
GAUGAACGCUGGCUACAGGCUUAACACAUGCAAGUCGAGGGGAAACGGCCUCCAAAUCUUGGUUUUGCUAGGCGUCAACCGGCGCACGAGUCAGUAACGCGUAUCCCUCCUGCCCGGCACUUGUGCAUGACAUUGCGGCAAUUAGCCUAAUGCCCCAUGUCAUCCCACGUGGGGGUCCGAAUGUUUUUGCGGAUUUGUCGGUUGUGGCUGGUGAUGCGGCUGAUUGGCUUGUUGGUGGGGUAGUGGCCCUCCACGGCUAUGACGGGUAGGCGGCCUGAGAGGGUGACCGGCCACAUUGGAACUGAGAUACGGCGCAGACUCCUACGGGAGGCAGCAGUGGGGAGUAUUGCACAAUGGGCGGAGGCGUGAGGCAGAAGCGCCGCGUGCGGGAUGACGGCCUUCGGGUUGGAAACAGAUUUCGCCUGUGACGAAGCGUGAGUGACGGUAAUGGGUAAAGAAGCACCGGCUAACUACGU